This is a long non-coding RNA of Oncorhynchus gorbuscha (pink salmon), 1243 nucleotides long. RefSeq lists it as uncharacterized. NCBI's taxonomy places the organism in Eukaryota, Metazoa, Chordata, Actinopteri, Salmoniformes, Salmonidae. The record is from RefSeq and is a predicted model, not a curated record. The transcript is spliced from 6 exons.
ACACUUUUGGAGGGAAGGCAAUCCCGCGCUCUGUUAGCUAAAUUUCCAUGUCAUCCGGGUGUAGUUCGUAAAGGUUGAAGUGUGUAUGUUAGGAUGGUAACGUUAUUAUAAUUAAGGAUGAAGUGUGAAUUCAUGCCAGGCACUGCAGAGGCUCAGAAGACGCAUGGAAACUCUAAAAGAACCAUAAUUCAACUUGUAGGCCAGAUUUGAAAAGGAAAUAAUAAAUCCUGAAGCUCAGAUGUCAGACACCGAGGCUGCCUGAUAGUCUAUGUGUUGGAUGAUGCACUGCCGUUGAUCAGAACAGACCGUGUAUAUUACAGUUGACCAAAGCUAUACUUGGAUACAAGACUGAUGACUCAAUAACCCGUAUUGACAACAGUGAAGAUGGUUAUGUCCCAGGGCCAUCAGGAUCAUCAGAGGAAGGCAAUUUCUAUGAAGAAAAUCUGACCGGAGAGAUGUCAGUGAUUCGGGCCAAUUACCAAGGGAAAGGUGGGACAAAAGAGGCUCACACGUUAAGCAUGUUUCCUGCUUCCUUCGCCAUGAAAGACAGAGGGGAGUCCAGGACUAGGACACAAGAGACCAGUCAGAACAGUUCUGAGAACAGCCUGACUGACAUCCUCAGUGUCCGGUGUGCCAGUGAUAUUGUCCUACAGCCAAUGCCACCAGGGAGAAAGAAUAGCCGAUCCCACUUCCACAACAUGGAUGUGACGAAAGAGAGGGCUGACAUGGGAAGGCUUCCAAUGGCCUUCCACCUAUCAGCCUCCCAAUGCUCACCGUGACCUCUCACUGUCCAAAGGAACAAAAACACCCUCAAGGUACCUCUCAUGCCUCUCUGCAGCUGGAGGGACAGAUGGGUCCCUCCAGCCACAAGCAGGAGCCAGAGGUUAAAUCCAGCAGACCACAGACACCAGGAAGGCCCCAAUGUAUGCUCCACUGCAGCCAAGGAAGUAGCUCCUUUAUCUGGGACUCCAUGCAGCCAGUCUGAGGUCAGGAUCCAGGCCAUUAAGUUAUUAUAAACUAGUGUUUUUCCACUUUCAAAGGACAUUCUAAUUCCUGCCAAAAUGUUCAUAAAUUCUUAAAAAUGAAAGAUUCACAGUCUAAGGCCUACCUUCAAUUUGGACUUCUAGAUCAUUUGCACACAUAGGAUUUGAUUAUACAGUUUCAACAAUAUAUUAUUGAAAACAGAAACACAAGACCUUGUUUUUAAGAUACUUUUUUUGUCACAUCACAAAGCAUAACAGUU